Non-coding RNA from Brienomyrus brachyistius, 73 nucleotides. The record is from the annotation of a RefSeq genome assembly. Lineage: Eukaryota; Metazoa; Chordata; Actinopteri; Osteoglossiformes; Mormyridae.
GGUAGCGUGGCUGAGCGGUCCAAGGCGCCUGAUUACGGCUUAGGAGGCGUGAGUUCGAAUCCCACCGCUGCCA